GAGCAAUCCCAGUGGGGAGGUUCCAAGAUGGCUGAAUAGGCUGCAGCUCCCAGCAUGAGCGACGCAGAAGACGGGUGUUUUCUGCAUUUCCAACUGAGGUCAGGAAAAUGGGGCACAGAGAACUACGCGAUUUAUCCAAGGUCAUACAGCUGUGUAAAGAGCAGAACUGGGAUUUGAUCAGGUUAACAGUCUCUGUGGACCCUCUGCUACAUGCUAGCUGGGAUAUAUUCUUCUCCUGUCCUUGGAUAUCAGAACUCCAGGCUCUCUGGCUUUUGAACUUCAGGACUUAUACCAGUGGCCCCCCGGGUUCUCAGGCCUUCAGCUUCAGACUGAGAGUUAAACAUCAGCCUCCCUGGUUCUGAGGGCUUCGGACUUAGACUGAGACAUGCUACAAGUAUCCUGGGGUCUCUAGCUUGCAGAUGGCCUGUCGUGGGGCUUCUCAGCCUCCAUAAUCAUUAUUAUGCUGCAAGUGUUUGAGAUCAAUGAAAAGUACCUACACUAAAAACAGAUCACCUUCUUCAAAGACUCAAAAGUGUUACAAUUUAUCAAGACACAGCUUGACAAAAGAGUCACAGCCUACAGAAAUACAAGGAACAAGUUACAGAAAUACAAAGAACAGGAGGAGGAGUCAAGAUGGCCGAAUAGGAACAGCUCCGAUCUACAGCCCCCAGCGUGAGCGACACAGAAGACGGGCGAUUUCUGCAUUUCCAACUGAGUAUCAUUGUAAAAAAAAAACAGUACAACAUAUCUCACACCUACAGUGAAUGAAUCAUGUAGAAUAUUCAAGAAGUACUAAAGAUAACAUGCUGGCAUGCUUUUGCUGUGUUGCCCAGGCUGGAGAGCAGUGGCUAGUCACAGACAUGAUCAUGGCACACUACAGCCUUGAACUCCUGGACUUAAGGGAUUCUGCCUCCAACUCCUGGAUUCAAGGGAUCCUUCUGCCUCAGGCUCUGAAGAAGCUGGGACUACAGUUUCAAAUAUUCUGUUACAAGCAACAGAAAACAAGCUAAUACAGAAAAUUGGUACAGAGAAGUGGGGUGUUGCUGAUAACAAAUACCCGAAAAUGUAGAAGUGGCUUUGGAACUGGGUAAUGGAAAAAGGUUGGAAGAAUUUGUAGAAACAAGCUAGAAAAAGCCUGGAUUUUGAGGGCUUAGCAGACAAGAAGACUAAAGAAAGUUUGGAACUCCUUAGUUAUUGCCUAAGUGGUUGUGAUUAGGAUGCUGAUAGAAAUAUGAACAGUACAGUGACAUCAGCAAGAUUGUGGAGUAGAAGAUUCCCCAGCAUCAGUUCCACAACAAAAAUAUAACUAGAAAAUAUUCAAAGGCAAGAAUAUCACCCUGAAUUCUCCAGAACUUGGGGGAGAAAUGGAGACCUCCCCUGCAUCCACAGAAUUGAGAGAAGUCACAACUGGUAAAAGAAAUGUUCAUUUCAGAUUGUGCCAUUGCCUUUCCCAAGCCAGCAAAAUACCACUUAUAGAGAAUUUCUUUAAACUCAUGGUUUCUGUGGUGAGCGGAGGGAAUUGGAGGUGCAUGUUCUAUCUCUCCAUUGAUCUUCAAAUCUUUAUGGAAGCCUACUCCUCUCCUGUCCCACAGGAAUCAUCAGGAGUUCCAGGAGGGCUAAACCACCUUCAGUGAAUUGGGGACAAAAAGCAGGGCAUUAGUCACCAUGAUUGGAAAGUAGAUCUUGAGAGCCUCUCUGCACUCCAAUAAGCGGAGAUCCCAAGUUGAAGAGACUGAUUAGCACCAUAGCACUGCAAGGGUCACAACCCACAGGAAAGCCCAAAUCCUUGGCUGCAUGUUCCACAAAGCCCAGGUGCUUGUGUGGAGCAUUGCCUUCCCAGAAACAACUAAAAGGUCAAAAUUAAGUUACAGUGCCAACAUAAGUCUUCCUCAGAAUGGGAAAUAUUUGCAGGGCAGUAAUAUAUUUCUGGGGCAACAUCUAAGUUCCAGUGCUCACUGUAAGUUUUCCACAGACUCAAAAACAAUAUGAGGGCAACAAUUUAGUUAUGGAGAAGCAUUUAAAUUCCAGUGUUCAAUAUGAGUCUUCCCACAGGCCAGGAAACAACAAUAGGGCAACAAGUUAGUUCCACUGCAGUGUGUCAGUUCAGUUCACCAUAAGUCCUCCCCAAAAUGAGAAGCAACAACAGAACAGCAUUUAAGUUCUGAGAGUAAGUAGUAAAGGUCUAACACCACCAGUGAAUAUCUGCAAACACUGGAAGAGGUGGCGGUCUCCUCAAAUUAUCAGGCAUCAAUGUAAAGAAACAAAGAUUGUGAAAACUCAAGAAAUAUGACAUGACCAAGAGAAACCAACAAAGCUACAGCAAUGAACCCAGAAGAAUUGAAUAUCCAUGAAAUGUCUGAGAGAGAAUUCAAAAUAAUCCUCUUAAACAAGUUCAGAGAUCACAAGCAAAUAUGGAUAGAAAACUAAAUGAAAUUUGGAAAACUAUCCAGGAACAAAAUAAGAAAUUUGACAAAGAAACGAAAACAAUUUUUAAAAUAAUAGAGAACCUACAAAUAAAGAAUACAAUAACUGAACUGAAAAACUCAUUAGAAAGCUUCAAGAGCAGACUUGAUCAAACAGAGGAAAGAAUUAAUGAGCCUGAAGACAAAACAUAUGAAAUUACCCAAUCAAGGGAGAAAAAAAAAGAAUUAAAAAGAAUGAGGAAGGCCUAUGAGAAUUACAGGAAACCAUUAAAUGAACUGACCUCUACAUAAUAGGAAUUCCUUAAGGAAACGAGAGAAAAGAGCUUAGAAAGCAUAUUUAAGGAAACAAUGAAGAAGGAUGACAGCAUCCAGGUACAAGCAGCUCAGAAGUUAUCAACCAAACUCAGUCCAAAGAGGAAUUCUUCAAGACACAUCAUAAUCAAAUUAGCAAAAAUUAAAGACAAAAAAGGAUACUCAAUGCAGCAAAAGGAAAGAAAAAAAUAUCACAUUUGAUGGAGCUCCAAUAUGAUAUGCAAUGGAUUUCUCAGCAGAAACCCUGUAGGCCAAGAGAGAUAAGGAUGCUAUAUUCAAAGUGCUGAAGGAAAAUAAACUGCCAGCCAUGCAUAUUGUACCUAGAAAAGCUAUCCUUCAAACACAAAAGAGAGAUAAAGACUUUCCCAGACAAACAAAAGCUGAGGAAAUCAUCAACACCAGACCUGCCUUACAAGAAGUACUGAAGGGAGUUCUUCAAUCUGAAAGAAAUGGAUGCUAAUGUGUAACAUGAAAACAUCUAAAUGUAUUAAACUUACUGGUAAAAGAAAGAAAACAGACAAAUUUAGAAUAGUUUAAUGCUGUAAUUGAGAUAAAGAAACAACUAAUGGCUUAAGUAAGAAGACUAAAAGACAAAACUAUUUUAUAAAAAUAAUGACAACAAUUGGUUAAGAAAUAAGCAAUAUAAAAUGAUGUAAGCUGAAAAAUCAAGAAUCAAAAAGAAGGGUGCUAAAGUGUAGAGUUUGUUUUGUUACUUUCUUUACUUUGCAAUCAAAGUCAAGUCAAUAUCAGUUUGAGAUAACCUGUUAUAACUAUAAGAGGAUUCUGUAAGCUUUAUAGUAACCAGAAAGUAACAAUAUAUAAUAGAGACACUUAAAAUAAAUAGCAUGGAAUCAACAUGUAUCACUAGAGAAAAUUGCUUAACCACAAAGAAGACAGUAAGAGAGGGAAAGUGGAGGGAAGGACCCACAAAGCAAUCAGAAAACAAGUAACAAAAUGGCAGUAAUAAAUCCUUACCUAUCAAUAAUACUUUUGAAUGUAAAUGUAUUAAAUUCUCCAAAUAAAAGACAUGAGUGGCUAAAUGGGUUAAGAUUUUUUAAAAGACCCAAUUAUAUGCUGUCUUUAAGAAACCCACUUCACCUAUAAAGACAUGCACAGAUGGAAAGUGGCAGAAUUAAAACAGAUAUUCCAUGCAACUGGAAACCAAAAAAGAGCAGGAGUAGCUAUACUUACAGUAGAGAAAAUAGACUUUAAGUCAAGAACAGUUUAAAAAAAAAGGAAAAGAAGGAUACUAUAUAAUGAUAAAAGGGUCAAUACAGCAAGAGGAUACAACAAAUAUAUAUACACUCAACACCAAAACACCCAAACAUUUAAAACAAAUAUUAAUUGACCUAAAGGGAGAGAUUAUAAUACCAUGUAUUAUUACAGUGCAGUAAUAGUAAGGGACUUCAGCACCCCACUUUCAGUAAUGGACAGAUUGUGAAGACAGAAAAUCAGCAAAGACACAUGAGAGUUAAACUGCACUCUAGAUCAAAUGAACCUAACAGAUAUUUGCAGAACAUUCCAUUUAACAGCUGCAGAAUACACAUAUUUUUCCAGAACACAUGGAAGAUUUCCACAAAACAUUCUCCAGGAGAGACAAUAUAUCUUAAUAAUUUUUUAAAAAUCAAAAUAAUAACAACAUAUUUUUUUCUGGAAUAAACCUGGAAAUCAAUAAUGGAAAGAAUGUUUAAAACUGUACAAAUUAAUGGAAAUAAAACAACAUGCUCCUGAACAAUGGAGGGACUGAUGAAGAAAUUUAAAAGAAAACUUAAAAUUCCUCAAGACAAAUUAAAAUGGAAACACAAUGUACCAAAACCUAUGGGAUACAGCAAAAGUAGUGCUAAGAAAGAAGAGUAUAGCAUUAAAUAUCUACAUCAAAAAAGUAGAAAGACUUCAAAUAAACAACUUAAUGAUGCAUCUCAAGGAACUAGAAAAGCAAGAACAAACCAAACCCAAAAUCAGUAGAAGAAAAGAAAUAAUAAAGAUCAGGGCAGAAAUAAAUGAAACAGACAAAAAAAGAUUAACAAAAUAAAAAGAUUUUUAAAAAAGAUAAGCAAAACUGACAAAUCUUUAGCUAGACUAAGAAAAAGAGAGAAUACCCAAAUAAAUGAAAUCAGAGUUGAAAAAGGAGACAUUAUAAUUGAUACCACAGAAACAUAAAGAAUCAUUAGAGGUUAUUGUGAACAACUAUAUGCCAACAAAUUGGAAAGUCUAGAAGAUACGGAUAAAACUCCUGUACACAUACAAUCUACCAAGACUGAACCACAAAGAAAUAGAAAAUCAGAACUGAUCAAUAACAAGUAACAAGAUUGAAGUGGUAAAAAAAAGUCUCCCAUCAAAGCCCAGAACAUGAUGGCUUCACUGCUAAAUUCUACCAAGCAUUUAAAGAAGAAAUAACACCAAUUCUACUCAAACUAUCCCAAAAAGUUGAAGAGGAGGGAAUACUUUAAAACUCAUUCUAUGAGGUCAACACUACCCUGAUACCAAAAUCAGACAAGGACACACACACAAAAGAAAACUACAGGCAAAUAUCCCUGAUGAACAUAGAUGCAAAAUUUCUCAGCAAAAUACUAGCAAACUGAAUUCAGCAACACAUUAAAAACCUCAUUCAUUGUGAUCAAGUGGGAUUCAUCCCAGGAAUGCAGGGAUGGUUCAACAUAUGCAAAUCAAUAAACAGAUAUAUCACAUUAGCAGAAUUAAGAACAAAAACCAUGCGAUAGUUACAAUAAAUGCUAAAAAAUCAUUCAACAAUAUUCAAUAUGCCUUUAUGAUAAAAUCUCUCAAAAAACUAGAUAUAGAACUAACAUACCUCAAAACAAUAAAAGACAUAUAUAACAAAUCCACAGCUAACAUCAUACUAAAUGGAGAAAAAUUGAAAGUCUUUCUUUUAAUAUCUGGAUGAAGACAAAGAUGCCCACUUUCAUAAAUUUUAUUCAAUAUAGUACUGGAAGUCCUAGCCAGGGCAAUUAGGCAAGAGAACAAAAUAAAGGGCAUCCAAAUUGGAAAGGAGAAAAUCAAAUUAUCCUUGUUCACAGAUAACGUGGUCCUAUAUUUAGAAAAAGAUGUCACCAAAAAAAUUGUUAGAACGGGUCAAUAAAUUCAGUAAAGUUGCAGAAUACAAAAUCAACAUACAAAAAUCAGCAGCAUUUCUAUACACUAACAACCAACAAUCUGAAAAACUAACCAAUAAAGCAAUCCCAUUUACAAUGGUUAUGAAAAAAAACUAGGAAUAAAUGUAACCAAAGAAGUGAAAGAUCUCUAUGAUGAAAUCGAUUAAACACUUAAACUAAGAAAUGGAAGAGGGCUCAAACAAAUGGAAAGAUAUGCUAUGCUCACGGACUGGAGGAACUAAUGUUUUUAAAAUGUCCAUACUAUCCAAAGUGAUCUACCAAUUCAAUGCAACUCCUCUCAAAGUACCAAUGAUAUCCUUCACAGAAAUAGAAAAAAAAAAUCCUAAAGUUUGCAUAGAACCACAGAAGACCAUGAUUAGCCAAGGCAAUCUUGAACAAAAGGAACAAUGCUGGAGACAUCACACUACCUGAUUUCAAAUUAUACUAAAGAGCUGCUAUAGUAACCUAAACAGCAUGGUACUGGCAUAAAAACAGACAUAUAGACCAAUAAAACAGAAUAGAACCCAGAAAUAAAUUCACACAUUUAUAGCCAACUAUUUUUUGACAAAGGUGCCAAGAAUAUACAUUGGGUAAAGGACAGUUUCUUCAAUAAAUGGUGCCAGGAAAACUGGAUAUAUUCAUGCGGAAGAGUAAAACCAGACCGCUAUCUCUCAACAUAUACAAAAAUCAAAUGAAAAUAGAUUAAAGACUUAAAUGUGAGACCUAAAAAUCCUGAAGCUACUAGAAGAAAAAUAUUGGAGAAUGCUUUAGUACAUUGGUCUGGGCAAAGAUUUUUUGGGUGAGACCUCAAAAGCAACAGAAGCAAAAAUGGACAAAUGGGAUUACAUCAAACUAAAAAGCUUCUGUGCAGCAAAGGAAAUGAUCAGUAGACUGAAGAGACUGUUGAAUGGGAUAAAAUAUUUGCAAACUAUCCAUCUGACAAGGGAUUAAUAAAAAGAAUAUACAAGGACUCAACAGCAAAAAAAAAAAAAUCUGAUUUUAAAAUGGGCAAAUGAUAUGAGUAGACAUUUCUCAGAAGACACACAAAAAUGUUCAAUAUCACUAAUCAUCAGGGCAAUGCAAAUCAAAACCACAAUGUAAUAUCAUCUCACCUCAGUUAAAAUGGCUAUUAUCAAAAAGACAAAAAAAUAACAAAUGCUUGUGGAAUGUGGAGAAAGGGGAAUGCUUGUACAUUGUUGGUGAGAAUGUAAAUUAGUAUAGGCACUGUGAAAAACAGUAUGGAGGUUUCACAAAUAACUAAAAAUAGAUCUGCCAUAUAAUCCAGCAGUCACACUGCUGGGUAUAUAGCUAAAAGAAAGAAAAUCAGUAUACUGAAGAGAUAUCUGCACUCCGUAUUUAUCGCAGCACUAUUCACAAUAGCCAACAUAUAUAAUCAAUCUAAGUGUCCAGAAACGAAUGGAUAAGGAAAAUGUAGCAUAUAUACACAAUGGAAUAUUGUUCAGCCAUGAAAAAAAUGAAAUUCUGUCAUUCUCAGCAACAAGGAUGGAACUGAAGGACAUUAUGUUAUGUGAUGUAAGCCAGGCACGGAAACACAAAUAUCACAUGUUCUCACCCAAAUGUGGUAGGUAAAAAAGUUGGUCUCUUGGUCAGAGUAGAAUGAUGAUUACCAGAGGCUGAGAAGAGUAGGGGAGAAUUGGGGGUGAAAAGAGGUUGGUUAAUAGGUACAAAAAUACAGCUAACAGAAGGAAUAAUUUCUAGUGUUUGAUAACAUAGUAGAGUGACUAUAGUUAACUAUAAUUUAUUGUAUAUUUCAAAAUAGCUAGAAAAUAUUUGAAAUGUUCCCAACACAGAAAAAUGAUAAAUGUUUGAAGUGAUGGAUAUCCUACUCUGAUUUAAUCACUGUAUGAAUGUAUCAAAUAUUAAAUGGACCACACAAAUCUUUACAAUUAUUAUGCAUCAAUAAAAAUUUUUUAAGAAAAAAUAUGGAUAAUAAAGGCUGUUCUGAUGAGGUUUCAGAUGGAACUGAGGACAAAGGUAUUGGAAAUUGGAGUAAAGGCUAUCCUUGUUAUUAAUUGGCAAAGACCUAUUUAGUACAAGUAAUUCUCUCAGUCUCUUGUUUUCUUUUUAAGCUCCUUUUAUUGUUUUUCACAUUAUAGAUAUUUUAAAUGUUUGUAUGGUUAUGUGCGUCCAUCUUCUAUUUUUUCAUUUCUGAUUGCUCUCCUCUUUUCUUCUUAUUUUCUUACAAUUUGGUUUGUUAAUAUUUAACUUCCUGUAGUUUUCUCCUAAAGGGCAGAGACUCUGUUAAUCAUCAUUGUAUCUAUAUGCCUAGCCCAGUCCCAGCAUGUAAUGAACUACCAAUAAAUAUUUGUGGAAUGAAUAAGUGAAGGAACAACUGAAUUGGCCCCAGUAGUCCACAGACCACACCCACUUGAGACUACAUAAUAAGGUCACUUUUUCUUUCAUAGCCAACUUAUAAAAACUAUGAACUUGCAUUCCAUAGGCUACAAAAAAGCUAUUCUUCCGGAGGAUUUCCUUCCCAUGGAUCUGUUAAAUGUUCCACUAUAUCAGUACUAUAAUCAUUUGUCAGCGCUGUUAGAGUCCAGCAAGUCACUUCUGCCAUCAGAUAACCAGCUUCUCUGGAAUACUGCUCUGCCCUAUGAGUUAUUCUCCAAGCAUAGACUCUGAUCCCUCCCUUAAUUAUCUAAAGCACAGGUAACACAUGAAUAAAACAAUUAACAAAAAUGUACUGCAAACUUGGGUAUGAAAGAAGUACAAUGCAGGCUGGGCACAGUGGCUCAUGCCUAUAAUCCCAGCAUUUUGGGAGGCCGAGGCAGGUGGAUCACAUGAGGCCAGGAGUUGAAGACCAGCCUGGCCAACAUGGUGAAACCCUGUCUCUACUAAAAAUACAAAAAUCAGCUUGGCAUGGCAGUGCACACCUGUAGUCCCAGCUACUUGGAAGGUUGAGGCACAAGAAUCGCUUGAACCUGGGAGGUGGAGAUUGCAGUGAGCCGAAAUCGCACCACUGCACGCCAGCCUGGGUGACAGAGCAAAACUCUCAAUGCAGUGUAGAUUUCAACUGGAAGGAGUUACUUUGGGAACACAAUGUGGCAAUGGCCAGCUCACCCCACCAACAGAAAAUCGCCAGGCAUCUCCACACUCUGGAACACUGGCCCUAAGAACCGCUGUGGUGGGAGUAUAUGUGUGUGCAGAGAGGAGAAAGAGAUGUAAAGACAAACAAAGAGAUUCAGAGAGAGAUCUUUCCUCUUCAAAUCCAUGCCCUGCUUCUUUUGGCUGUUGCGAAGAUUAAAUGAGUUAAAUUAAAUAAUUGACAGUGGGAGCACCCACUAAUGCAGAGUACAGUCUGGCUCCUAUGGCCAGACAGGCAAUGAUGAAGAUCAGCAGUACAUUUUACAAGUCUGAGUUAUUCUGUAACUUAAGUUAUUCUUAAAUAACACAAGUCUGAGUUAUUCUGUCUUAAAUAACACUAUGUGAAAGACACCAAUGCUCCAAAUCCAGGUGGUAUUAUACCAAUCCUAGUCCCCUGAUUCCCUUUCACAAUUUUUAUCUCCAUAAUAAAGAGCUCAGAUCUACACAACACUCUUGGCAUGGUCCAGUGAGACAAUCUCCUGUUACCAAUCACUUAGACAAAACUCUCUCUCUCUCUCUCUGACUCUCUCUUCCAAAAUAAAUAAACAAACAGUAGUUUGCAAGGACAAUUCAGCCAAAAUCCAUAUUCUAAGGCUACAUAUUUUCCCCCUCUGAUUUUGAAAGGACAUACACAAGCCACUAAACCCAAUUUAUACUUCUAAACGAAACUUGUCAGCUUACUAGAAACUUCAAUCUCCUCAAAAAGCAACAAGUGAGUACUUGCUCUAGAUGUGUGUAAUUCAAAAGGCCCAUUCUGGUAAUUCUCCCAAAACAAAGAAAGCCUGCUCCAAAGAUGAAUCAAUGACUCCAUCUUUAUAAAAAAAAAAAAUCUGGCAACUUUUAAAUGAUUUAAUGCUAGGUUUCCAAAAAAGUAAAGUCCUGACGUGCAGCCUCUUGCAGAAUGAAUAAAGUAGUGUGAGGUGAAGGUCCAAGUUAAAGUUUUUGCAUAUUAAUAUCUGGUUGUCUUAGUCCAUUUUCUGUUGCUAUGGAAAAAUACCACAAACUGGGUAAUUUAUAAAGAAGAGAAAUUUGGCUGGACACAGUGGCUCAUGCUGUAAUCCCAGCACUUUGGGAGGCCAAGGUGGGGAGGAUCACUUGAGCCCAGGAAUUUGAGACCAGCCUGGGCAACAUAGUGAGACCCCACCUCUACCAUAAAGAAAAAUUAGCCAGGUAGUCCCAGCUCCUUGGGAGGCUGACAUGGGAGGAUCACUUGAGCCCAGGAGUUGAGGCUGCAGUGAGCCAUGAUCGUGCCACUGCACUUCAGCCUGGGUGACAGAGUGACCCUGUCUCAAAAAAAAAAACAACAACAAAAAAGUGUAUUUCUUACAUUUCUGGAGGAUAUGAAGUCCAAGAUUGAGGGGCCAGCAUCUGUCAAGGGCCUUCCUUCUGUGUUAUCCCACGGUAGAGGGCAGAAGGAUAAGAGAGCAUGUUAGCAAGCAAGAGAUCAAACUUGAAGCCUCAACUCCUUUUUAUUCAGCAGUAAUCCAUUCAUGAGGGUGGAAAAUAAACAUCUCCCAUUAGGUCUCAUCUCCCAAAAUUACUGCAUUGAGGAUUAAGUUUCCAACCCAUGCUUUUUUUUUUUAGAGUCAGCGUCUCACUCUGUCACCCAGGCUGGAGUGCAGUGGCUCACUGAACCCUUAAGCUCCUGGGCUCAAGCAGUCCUCCUGCCUCAGCCUCCCAAACAGCUGGGAUGACAGGUAUGAGCUACCAUGCCCUGUUGGUUUUCUUACUAGUUCUUAAAUCAUGAUUCUUUUGUUAAUUACUUCAUUACUUGCAUAAGCUGACUUCAUCAUAUCUUUAACAUCUAUGUAAACUAGGCUAUCUGUUCAAUUACCUCUUACUUCAUUUUUUAAACUCAUUCCAUAUCAUUUCCACUCAUUUCUUUUAAAAUCCUAGUAUCUAACAAGAAUAGUUCUUCCUUACAAUUUUUCUUCUCUUAGAGUACUAUAUGAAAAUUCUGCCCAUUUAUUUUGGAAAACAGUUUUGGAAUCAUUUUAUUGAGUUCUAUAAAGUAUUCUUUGGUUUUUAAUAGGAAUAUGGUAAAUCUAUACAUUAAUCUGGGAAGUAUUUUCUUUACUAUUCAUAGUCAUACUAUGUCUUUCCUUUCAUUUGCGUUUUUAAAAAUUAUUUCAUUAAAGUUUUCAUACUUUUGUGAACCCCGAAAAUCUGAGACAGGUCUUAGUUAACUUAGAAAGUUUAUUUUGCCAAGGCUGAGGAUACGUGCCCGUGACACAGCCUCAGGAGGUCCUGAUGACAUGUGCCCAAGGUGGUCAGAAUACAGUUUGGUUUUAUACAUUUUAGGAAGACAUGAGACAUCAAUCAACAUAGGUAAGAUGAACAUUGGUUCCAUCUAGAAAAGGCAGGACAACUCGAAGCAGGGAGGAAGCUUCCUUUUCAUUGAAUCAUUCACUGAUUUAGAGAGACAAUUUCCCUGAUUCCCCAGUCUUGAGUAGCCUCUCCUCACUCUUUAUCACAUCCUUCAUUUUGCUCUCUUCAUGGCAGUUAUUAUUGUUAUUUUGAAUUAGCUUGUUUGUUUACAUCAGGGGUCCCCCACCCCCUGGCCGAAGACUGGUACUGGUUCGUGGCCUGUUAGGAACCGGGCUGCACAGCAGGAGGCAAGCGAGCAUUACUGCCUGAGCUCUGCCUACUGUCAGAUCAGCAGCGGCAUUAGAUUCUCAUAGAAGCACGAAUCCUAUUGUGAACUGCAUAUGUGAGGGAUCUAGGUUGCAUACUCUUUAUAAGAAUCUAAGGCCUGAUGAUCUGAGGUGGAACAGUUUCAUCCCAAAACCAUGAAGGAUCUAGGUUGCACACUCUUUGUAAGAAUCAAAUGCCUGAUAAUCUGAGGUGGAACAGUUUCAUCCCAAAACCACCCUCCUAUCCACCUCACCCAUACAUUCCCACACCCCUAAUACCCCCACACCCCCAAUACCCCCACACCCCCAAUACCCCCACACCCCCAAUACCCCCACACCCCCCUACACAGCCCCCACUCCAGUCCCUGGAAAAAUUGUCCACAAAAUCGGUCCCUGGUGCCAAAAAGGUUGGGGGCCACUGGUUUACAUGUUAUUGUCCGUCUUCUAUGCAUGGCGCCCUUACUAGUAAUGCUUGCUUUGAAAUCUUUAUCAGUCAGAUCAUCUUUGCAAUAUCAAAUUGUGAUACACCCUGAUCUAGCAUUACAGUACUAUCCUGGAGCUAAUAGAAUCCAAACCUGCUUCCUAAAUCCUGGCUUUUCCUUCAGAUUUCUUUGCAAGUCAUCUCUGUGCAGAAGAGGCCUUUCACUCAGCACAGAGUACUACAUAGAAUUCAUGUUCCUCAGUUUCUGAGCUAAUGUUCUGACCUCCUCUAAGUCUUGCUGCUACUGGACACUGGGAGACCUGGGAUUUAUGUAUACUUUGAUUCAAAGAUUGUACAUAUAAGAACCCAUAAUUGUUAAAUAUUUUUGGCAAAAGAUAAAGUACUUCUAAACAAAUAAUGAGAUCAAGAUAGUAGCACUAGAUAAAAAAUAACACUUGGAUUCCAGCCCAGAUGUUUUCACUAUUUACCAUGUGAUCUUGGCCAAAUUAGUUAUCCUCUUAGAGUUCUCUUCUGUAAAAUGAGGUUACUGCAUUAGAUUUAUGGAUGACUGCGGCUGCAAUUUAAAAUGAAUAACCUAUUAGAGAAAUGUAUAAAAUUAAUAUUAAUAAACUACUCAUAUCUAAAUUGUUAAAGUAAACCUUGGUAAACCUUUAGGUACUGCUAUCUUAUCAAAAUACGAUGAUGGGAUAGUGGAAUUUUUGUACCCAAAUAUCAAAUCAUUUCUUCCAAUUAAAUCUCACAAAUCAUAUGAUUUGGAGUAGUACCUCUGCAAUGGAAAACUCUGGGGUAAGUCUCUCUAGCUUCUCUGCUUGUUCUAGGAACUGCUCCUCCCUCCCUUUUUCAUCCUUCCAUCAUAGUGCAGCUAUAAUGUGACCCUUCCUCCUGGCCACUGCUAAUCAUCUGUGUGAUCCGGGUGUGGAUACCUCGCCUAAUCAGAGCCAGUGAGUCCCAUCCUCAGGAAUUUAGGUCUUGGAUAGGAAAAAAUAUGGAAAGCAAGUUGGUCUCUCAUUCUUGAAGCCAUAAAGUGAAAACCUUGGGUGUGCUAGGCAGCUGUGUUCCCAUGAAAAAGAUAGUCUACAGAAAAAAGAAGCAAGCAGAGGAUCUAAUAUUGCUGGUCCCUAGGCUAGCUGGAUUCUUAUCUGUAGAGUAGUUUGUUCAACUCAUCUCAGUAUACUUUAUAUAAGUUCUUCCUUUUGCCUAAGCUGGUCAGAGUCUUGUUUGGUGCCUUCU
Long non-coding RNA from Pongo pygmaeus (Bornean orangutan), 13258 nucleotides. RefSeq lists it as uncharacterized. The transcript has 8 exons. The record is from RefSeq and is a predicted model, not a curated record. Lineage: Eukaryota; Metazoa; Chordata; Mammalia; Primates; Hominidae.